RNAcentral lists this unclassified non-coding RNA (302 nucleotides) under Hevea brasiliensis (rubber tree). The record is from RNAcentral. Lineage: Eukaryota; Viridiplantae; Streptophyta; Magnoliopsida; Malpighiales; Euphorbiaceae.
GCCGUUUCUGAACCUUGAAAAACAGCCAAAAAAUCCUAUCUAAUCAACAGCUUGUAGGGCGUCACUUUGUCCUAGGAGCUUGUCUGUUUUCAUGGCACAAAUCGACAAUCGAAGGCGCAUUUUCCGCGACCCGAUUCGAUCUCUCUGCCGAACCAUUUUCGAAGGCAACUCAUGACCGAACCAGCCCGGCAAACCAGCGCCGAACCUGUCGCCAAUUCCGGUGCGGACUACGGCGCUGAANGCUGAAUCGAUCCGCGUGCUGAAGGGUCUCGACGCGGUUCGCAAGCGGCCGGGCAUGUAUA